Molecule: ribosomal RNA, 253 nt
Filed under: uncultured bacterium
Lineage: Bacteria
Description: partial 16S ribosomal RNA
Rfam family: Bacterial small subunit ribosomal RNA
Source: RNAcentral
GACGAACCGUGCAAACGUUGUUCGGAAUCACUGGGCUUAAAGGGCGCGUAGGCGGACUCGCCAGUCUGUGGUGAAAGCCCCCGGCUCAACCGGGGAAGUGCCGUGGAUACUGCGAGUCUGGAGGAGGGUAGGGGCAUCUGGAACGCUGGGUGGAGCGGUGAAAUGCGUUGAUAUCCAGCGGAACUCCGGUGGCGAAGGCGAGGUGCUGGACCCUUUCUGACGCUGAUGCGCGAAAGCCAGGGGAGCAAGCGGG